This is a non-coding RNA of Populus trichocarpa (black cottonwood), 156 nucleotides long. NCBI's taxonomy places the organism in Eukaryota, Viridiplantae, Streptophyta, Magnoliopsida, Malpighiales, Salicaceae. The record is from Rfam.
UUUAGAACUCGAGAUAUAGGUUAAAUAUCGAACAAUGUCUGAGCUGCAUGAUAGAUUCAGACUUCUCUUUUCUUGCUAAGAUUUGAACUUUAAAACGAUAUUAUUGAAUCUUGGACUCUUCGUGAACAUAUUAGGCAUAUGUCUUAGCUUUCCUUU